This 433-nucleotide ribosomal RNA is filed under the name uncultured bacterium. RNAcentral describes it as "partial 16S ribosomal RNA". It matches the Rfam family "Bacterial small subunit ribosomal RNA", at positions 29 to 507 of the family's 1533-position model. The record is from RNAcentral.
AACGAACGCUGGCGGCAUGCCUAACACAUGCAAGUCGAACGAGACCUUCGGGUCUAGUGGCGCACGGGUGCGUAACGCGUGGGAACCUGCCCUUAGGUUCGGAAUAACUCCCCGAAAGGGGUGCUAAUACCGGAUAAUGUCUUCGGACCAAAGAUUUAUCGCCUUUGGAUGGGCCCGCGUUGGAUUAGCUAGUUGGUAGGGUAAAAGCCUACCAAGGCGACGAUCCAUAGCUGGUCUGAGAGGAUGAUCAGCCACACUGGUACUGAGACACGGCCCAGACUCCUACGGGAAGCAGCAGUGGGGAAUAUUGGACAAUGGGCGAAAGCCUGAUCCAGCAAUGCCGCGUGAGUGAUGAAGGCCUUAGGGUUGUAAAGCUCUUUUACCCGGGAUGAUAAUGACAGUACCGGGAGAAUAAGCUCCGGCUAACUCCGUG